CCUACGGGAGGCAGCAGUGAGGAAUAUUGGUCAAUGGACGAGAGUCUGAACCAGCCCAGUAGCGUGAAGGAUGACUGCCCUAUGGGUUGUAAACUUCUUUUAUAUGGGAAUAAAAUGUUCCACGUGUGGGAUUUUGUAUGUACCAUAUGAAUAAGGAUCGGCUAACUCCGUGCCAGCAGCCGCAGUAAUACGGAGGAUCCGAGCGUUAUCCGGAUUUAUUGGGUUUACAGGGAGCGUAGGUGGAUUGUUAAGUCAGUUGUGAAAGUUUGCGGCUCAACCGUAAAAUUGCAGUUGAAACUGGCAGUCUUGAGUACAGUAGAUGUGGGCGGAAUUCGUGGUGUAGCGGUGAAAUGCUUAGAUAUCACGAAGAACUCCGAUUGCGAAGGCAGUUCACUGGACUGUAACUGACACUGAGGCUCGAAAGUGUGGGUAUCAAACAGGAUUAGAUACCCCUGUAGUC
Molecule: ribosomal RNA, 460 nt
Filed under: uncultured bacterium
Lineage: Bacteria
Description: partial 16S ribosomal RNA
Rfam family: Bacterial small subunit ribosomal RNA
Source: RNAcentral